Molecule: ribosomal RNA, 478 nt
Filed under: uncultured bacterium
Lineage: Bacteria
Description: partial 16S ribosomal RNA
Rfam family: Bacterial small subunit ribosomal RNA
Source: RNAcentral
GACGAACGCUGGCGGCGUGCUUAACACAUGCAAGUCGAACGGUAAGGCCCUUCGGGGUACACGAGUGGCGAACGGGUGAGUAACACGUGGGUGAUCUGCCCUGCACUUCGGGAUAAGCCUGGGAAACUGGGUCUAAUACCGGAUAGGACUCCUGGCUUCAUGGUUGGGGGUGGAAAGCUUUUGCGGUGUGGGAUGGGCCCGCGGCCUAUCAGCUUGUUGGUGGGGUAAUGGCCUAGCAAGGCGACGACGGGUAGCCGGCCUGAGAGGGUGACUGGUCACACUGGGACGGAGAUACGGCCCAGACUCCUACGGGAGGCAGCAGUGGGGAAUAUUGCACAAUGGGCGCAAGCCUGAUGCAGCGACGCCGCGUGAGGGAUGACGGCCUUCGGGUUGUAAACCUCUUUCAGCUAUGACGAAGCGCAAGUGACGGUAGUAGCAGAAGAAGGACCGGCCAACUACGUGCCAGCCGCCGCGGUAA